CCUACGGGCGGCAGCAGUGAGGAAUAUUGGUCAAUGGACGAGAGUCUGAACCAGUCAAGUAGCGUGAAGGAUGACUGCCCUAUGGGUUGUAAACUUCUUUUAUAUGGGAAUAAAACGUUCCACGUGUGGGAUUUUGUAUGUACCAUAUGAAUAAGGAUCGGCUAACUCCGUGCCAGCAGCCGCGGUAAUACGGAGGAUCCGAGCGUUAUCCGGAUUUAUUGGGUUUAAAGGGAGCGUAGGUGGAUUGUUAAGUCAGUUGUGAAAGUUUGCGGCUCAACCGUAAAAUUGCAGUUGAAACUGGCAGUCGUGAGUACAGUAGAGGUGGGCGGAAUUCGUGGUGUAGCGGUGAAAUGCUUAGAUAUCACGAAGAACUCCGAUUGCGAAGGCAGCUCACUGGACUGCAACUGACACUGAGGCUCGAAAGUGUGGGUAUCAAACAGGAUUAGAUACCCCUGUAGUC
Molecule: ribosomal RNA, 460 nt
Filed under: uncultured bacterium
Lineage: Bacteria
Description: partial 16S ribosomal RNA
Rfam family: Bacterial small subunit ribosomal RNA
Source: RNAcentral